This 75-nucleotide transfer RNA is filed under the name Chloroflexota bacterium. Its description in RNAcentral is "Chloroflexi bacterium tRNA-Gly". It matches the Rfam family "tRNA". Rfam says of the family: Transfer RNA (tRNA) molecules are approximately 80 nucleotides in length. Their secondary structure includes four short double-helical elements and three loops (D, anti-codon, and T loops). Lineage: Bacteria; Bacillati; Chloroflexota. The record is from RNAcentral. RNAcentral also lists the same sequence under 2 other names.
GCGGGUGUAACUCAGUGGUAGAGUGCAACCUUCCCAAGGUUGAAGUCGCGAGUUCGAGUCUCGUCACCCGCUCCA